Non-coding RNA from Myodes glareolus (Bank vole), 561 nucleotides. The record is from RefSeq and is a predicted model, not a curated record. NCBI's taxonomy places the organism in Eukaryota, Metazoa, Chordata, Mammalia, Rodentia, Cricetidae.
CUCAAACUCAGGCCAGUACUCCUACCUCAGCCUCCUCGGUGCUGAAAUUUCCGGCAUACUUGAUGACAUCACUAGCCAUUGCUGACCAAGGUGGCCUUCACCUCUGACCUGUUCCUGAAAGUUGUGAUGGGACAAGCCAUGGAGAUGGCCAGAGGGGCCAACAAAGCGGCAAGAAGAAAGCGGGGAGCACUUAGGGAUGGAGGCACAGGUUGGUUGGUUUGUUUUUCAAAAUUUCUCACAUUUGUUUAUUUAUCAUGUGGACAUGGAGUAGGGAGACGUGGAGUAGGGGGUGGGGUGUGAAUGUGUGAACCGUGGUCCACAUAUCGGGACAACAUCAGGAAUCGUUUUCUUCCUUCCGCCUCGUGGGUUCUCAGAAAAACUCAGGUCCUGAUGCUUAGUGGGAAGAGCCUGAGAUUCCCUGCACCCAGAGGUACUGUCCUCCUAAGCAUGGUAUGGAUUUAUAGCUUCCAGGUGCAGUGAGAAAUGGUUGGAGGGCUACAUACAAGGCCUAGCAUGUUCUGAUGUAUUAUUGUUGUUAAUAAUAAAAUAUUUCCCUAGUAA